RNAcentral lists this ribosomal RNA (430 nucleotides) under Fusobacteriota bacterium. RNAcentral's name for it is "Fusobacteria bacterium partial 16S ribosomal RNA". It matches the Rfam family "Bacterial small subunit ribosomal RNA", at positions 355 to 776 of the family's 1533-position model. The record is from RNAcentral. Lineage: Bacteria; Fusobacteriati; Fusobacteriota.
UAGGGAAUCUUCGGCAAUGGACGAAAGUCUGACCGAGCAACGCCGCGUGAGUGAAGAAGGUUUUCGGAUCGUAAAACUCUGUUGUUAGAGAAGAACAAGGAUGAGAGUAGAAUGUUCAUCCCUUGACGGUAUCUAACCAGAAAGCCACGGCUAACUACGUGCCAGCAGCCGCGGUAAUACGUAGGUGGCAAGCGUUGUCCGGAUUUAUUGGGCGUAAAGCGAGCACAGGCGGUUUCUUAAGUCUGAUGUGAAAGCCCCCGGCUCAACCGGGGAGGGUCAUUGGAAACUGGGAUACUUGAGUGCAGAAGAGGAGAGUGGAAUUCCAUGUGUAGCGGUGAAAUGCGUAGAUAUAUGGAGGAACACCAGUGGCGAAGGCGGCUCUCUGGUCUGUAACUGACGCUGAGGCUCGAAAGCGUGGGGAGCAAACAGG